AGUGAGCGCUGGCGGUAGGCCUAACACAUGCAAGUCGAACGGCAGCACAGUAAGAGCUUGCUCUUACGGGUGGCGAGUGGCGGACGGGUGAGGCAUACAUCGGAAUCUACUUUUUCGUGGGGGAUAACGUAGGGAAACUUACGCUAAUACCGCAUACGACCUACGGGUGAAAGCAGGGGAUCUUCGGACCUUGCGCGAUUGAAUGAGCCGAUGUCGGAUUAGCUAGUUGGCGGGGUAAAGGCCCACCAAGGCAACGAUCCGUAGCUGGUCUGAGAGGAUGAUCAGCCACACUGGAACUGAGACACGGUCCAGACUCCUACGGGAGGCAGCAGUGGGGAAUAUUGGACAAUGGGCGCAAGCCUGAUCCAGCCAUACCGCGUGGGUGAAGAAGGCCUUCGGGUUGUAAAGCCCUUUUGUUGGGAAAGAAAAGCAGCAGGUUAAUACCCCGCUGUUCUGACGGUACCCAAAGAAUAAGCACCGGCUAACUUCGUG
This 492-nucleotide ribosomal RNA is filed under the name uncultured bacterium. RNAcentral describes it as "partial 16S ribosomal RNA". It matches the Rfam family "Bacterial small subunit ribosomal RNA", at positions 29 to 507 of the family's 1533-position model. The record is from RNAcentral.